This 116-nucleotide ribosomal RNA is filed under the name Anaerobacillus sp. CMMVII. The record is from RNAcentral. Lineage: Bacteria; Bacillati; Bacillota; Bacilli; Caryophanales; Bacillaceae.
UCUAGUAGCGAUAGCGAAGAGGUCACACUCGUUCCCAUGCCGAACACGACCGUUAAGCUCUUCAGCGCCGAUGGUAGUUGGGGGUUUCCCCCUGUGAGAGUAGGACGUUGCUAGGU